CAGAUCCUUAACCCACUAACUGAGGCCAGGGAUUGAAUCUUCAUCCUCAUGGAUACUAGUCAGGUACUCAGAUUUUGUUUCCGCCUCAAAGAGUAUUUGCCUUUUCCCAAAGCUGGGAUGUUAUCAUGACUAUCGCUGUCCCUGGAGUCUGCUGCUUUGAUCAAAGAAUACAUAUAUGUAUGCAUAUGCUUCCAGCUUUUCUUCCCCCCACACCCGCUUGUCUGGGUACCUCCUCCCUUAUGGUACCGACUCCGUGAUUAGAUCCAGAAAUACCUUUCGGAUAUUUUCCGUGAUGUUAUUGUCUUUAAUUAACACAACGCCAGAAGUUAAGGUCUCCUCUCCGGUCAGCAUUUUGAAUAUAGUGGUUUUUCCAGCUCCAUUUAAUCCAAGUAAUCCAAAGCACUCAUACUUUUGGACUAAAAGGGAGACGUUUCUUACAGCCAUUACAACUGGACACUUGAAAUAAAUCUGAGAAAAUAAAAAAGCACCACAGUGUACUGAAGCACUGAUUAUGGAUCAGCCACAGCCAUAAGCUCAGACCCCUGUGGACUGCUGCCCGGGACAGUUUCACAAGAGCUCUUCCUCUGUCAGCCCUCUGGUUUACCAUAGAGCACUUAGAACCCGCACAACUUCAAUGAAUUAGUAAUACUACCAACAGAACCCCGGCAGUUCCCUGGUAGAUGGUAGGACAAGGUUGGACGUUGAAUCACUUUACCUUUGUAAGUUCACUAAGAAGCACGGGUGCAGCCUUCAACUUAGGUAACAGUGCCAGGACUCUCUUCCUUUCAUUUUCUACAUCUUUAUCCACAUACUCGUUGAUCACUUGGGUGGACACGGUGGCCUGUAUUUUCAAGACAAGGAUCACAGGUGUGGAUAAACAUUAGACAUCUUGGUUUAAAGCGGGGGGCUUUAAGAAAGCUGACCGGAAGGAGUGAUGGCAAAGAUGUCAGAAUAUGUUCGAAUAAUGUCAAAGAACCUUAUCAAUUUCUUGGACUCUUAGGCGCAGAUUUAUUCUUGAGUUUUAGAAACUACAGUCAUGAACAAGAUUCUCUACAACGGUUCUGGGUCAGCAGUAUGUCCUUGCCUGGAACAUGGACACUUUGUGGAGAACAAAAGCCCUAUCAAUAACAUUAAUUCUUAUUUCCUGUGGUUUGCUACAAUUAAAAUAUGUUCAAGAGACCAUGAGAUCCAAGAGAGGAGAAAAAUGAACUCCUUUUUUUUUUUGAGAGACGGCCCCUUAAGGUGAAGUCUGAGAUGAAUUUGAAGAAUAAACAGAAGAUACAUUGAGAGAAUGAAGGAUACAAUUCAUUGGAUAGAGAUUUCCUGAGGGUGACAUAGGAAAACGAACAUUCAUGCCAUUUCAGCUGACACUCACCAGUAUGAAGCAGCAGAUAAUGGAGAAGUAGAUGAGAUCCCACAGCAAAGCAGCGAGCCAGUAAGUAAGUAACUUGCCCAGGGACAGACAAGAGGACAUCUGACUGAAUGGCCAUAACUAUGAUACAUCAUUCUUAUUACAGUUUAUUCAGUACUAUAAAUUACUGAAGUAGCCUUGAGUUGAUAUGUAGCAGUCUUCUGUGAACUUAUUCACCCGGUCAACUUUGAGACACUGAAACGAUUACAUCCCUGGGGUUUCUGGAUGCAGAAUGUUACAUUUGGAAUGGAUGGGCAGUGGGGCACUACUGUACAGCACAGGGAACUGUGAGUGAUGGGGUCACUGUGCUUUAUAAUAGAAAUUGAAGAAACAUUGUAAAUCAACUAUACUUUAAUUAAAAAAAAAUCCCUGGAUCUGAGAGAGGAUAUUUUGUAAAACUCUCAACAGGUAACCACCUUACUUUGUUAACUGACAGUUUGAAAACUCUGGGCAUUUCCAUUUUGAAUUUUCUUCAUAGUGCAAGAAACAAACCCAUGUAUAAAUGAAGUAAAUUGUGGAAAUGUAGGGGAGCAAAAUUUGCCACCCCAAAACGUCUCUUUGGCGUGUGAAUUAUUUCUGGCAAAACAUAAUCAAGGCCCCAGAGACUCAGGAAGUCUUUUUACUUCUGCCUUAGCUGCUUAAAAUAUUUUGAUAAAGGGCCUAUUCCCAGGACUGGAGUUAUAGUGAGAGGUAUCUGCAGAGAAUAUAGGUUAGGUGUGGUGGGGGAUACUCAGGCAGGGACUAGCGAUCAGAGUUCGUUCUGUGUCCUUUAGUCUCUGCAAGGCCUAGCAAACAUAUUUUUACCAAACAUUUGCUUCUCCAUAUGAAGGCAAUUCACCAUAUGAAUUGCCUUCCUCCCCAGUGAAGUCCCAAAACCAUUACCCCCAACAUUCUCUUUGUCUUUAGCUGAAGACAGUAGGGUUUCAGCCCUUUCGGCAAAUUACCCAGUUCUCCUGGGUCUCACCCAUGUAUGCAUUUUAUUAAACUUUUGUUUGAUUUUUCUCCUGCUAAUUGUUCACAUCAACUUAAUUCUUAGAGCAGCCAGAAACAUUUAGAAGUGUAGAGGAAAAUUUCUCCCUUCCCAACAGAAACAUGCUUAGGUCAAAAUUUUAAAGUCAUUUCUAAUAUAGACUCCAAGUUAAAACCAGAACUUUUCCUAUGAUGACUUAGAUAUUAAUUUUUUUUCCUUGACUCUUAAUUAAAUCUUUUGUCAUGAAAAGACACAUGUAACAAGACCCAAGCUCAAAAUCUUUUCAUAGUCUCAGCUGAAUAUGCAGAAAUACGUUAGCAUAAAAGAUAUAUUUUUCAAAAUUCUUAAGUUCAGUUACUUUAUUCCAAUGCAAACUGGGUGGGGUUUGCUCUCAAACUGAUUUUAGGGGUGGAAGUUUUGUGUUUUUUUAAGGACAUUUAAGGAUGACUCACUUAAGGAAGACUUCUUCCAUGGUAGUAAUUGAAGCACCAAAGCUGGCAAUGCCCAGCUCUUUCUGUUUCUCUUCCAGUUCAUUAAACAGAGCUUCAAACCUGGAAAGAGAAGGGAGAGGCAAGGAAAAUAGCAGCACUUGUCUGGAUACAUUUUCUUUUUUUUCUAGUAUUUUCUAUUAAAUGGAAUUAAGAAAAACAAUGUAUAAGCACUUGCUUUUUUUCCCCACUUAAUAUUUAAUUUUAUUCCCAAUUUUAUUCUUCCCUUUUGUUUUCUUAAAAAUUUUUUAGUGCAGUAAAAUAUAUGAAACUUUAAAUUUACCGUUUCAUCAUCUUAAGCGUUAAAUUCAUUUAAGUUUAAAUUCAAGCAGCAUUAAGCACAUUCAUAAUGUUCUGCAAAUUUUCAUCACCAGCCAUUUCUGGGACUAUUUUACAAUCUCAAACUAUGACUCCGUACCCAUUAAAGAAUAAUUCUCUGUCUCUCCUUUCCCUCGACUUCAUUGUACUUUGUCCUUAUUAAUGUGCCCAUUCCCUGUGCCUUAUGUAAGUUGGGAUCAUGUACGCUUUGUCUUUUUGUGUCUGGCUUAUUUCAGUUAGCAUAAGUUUUUUGAGGUUCAUCUACAGUGUAGCACGUAUCAGAGUUUCAUUCCCUUUUAAGGCUGAAUAAUAGUUACUGUAAGGACAUACAACAUGUUUCUUACUCAUCCAUUCGUCACUGGGCACUUGGGUUGUUUCUACCUUUUGGAUUCUGUGAAUAUGUUGCUGUGAACACUGGCACACAAGUGUGUGAGUUCCUGCUUUCAAUUAUUUUGGGCGUAUACCUAGCAGUGGAAUUGCUGGAUCACAUGGAUCGCUUUUUGAGGAACUAUCAUACCAUUUUCCAUAGCAGAUGCACCAUUUUACAUUCCCAAUGGCAAUGCACACGCUUCCAGUUUCUCCACAUCCUUAACGAAUAUUGGUUAUUUUUUUGUGUUUUUGAUUUACAUUUCCCUAAUGAGUUGAACUUAUUGGCAAUCUGUACAGUGUCUUUGGAGAAUGUAUAUCCAAGUCGUUUGUCCAUUUAAUACAGGGUGUUAGGUUUUUUGGCUAGAUGAAUUUUCAAUAUUGUUUUGUUCAAUAAUAAUUUCUGGUUAGCCCUGGGAAAAAUAUUUAGUAGAGCAUUAUUCUUUAAUGCUUAUUGUGAAAGAAAUGGAAAUAAUGAAGAUAUAUUUACCUUACCAAGUUUCUCCCACUGUAACGUGAUCUUUGAUAUAAUUCUUUUGUCCUUAUAAAAAUUAUCAAUUUAUUUUGUCAGUGUCAAGGAUUAAAGCUAGUUGCUAAAAGUUUACUUAUUCCUAUAUGCUUCCUACAUCAAAUGGAAAAGAGUUCUCAAAUUAUAGGAGUUAUACAUCACUAAAUGACAGAAAAUGGAGUUAGUGAAAUACUUUUUUUUUCAUUUUUAAAAGUUUAUUGAAGUAUAGUUGAUUUACAGUGUUAUCAUUUCUACUGUACAAUAAAGUGAUUCAGUUAUAAAUGUACACACAUCCACUCCUUUCCAGAUUCUCUUCCCAUAUAGAUGAUCACAGAAUCUUGGGUAGAGUUCCCUGUGCAGGUUCCUGUUGGCCAAACACUCUCAUUCCCAGUGAGGGACUAUCAGAAACAUGUAUGACUAUGCUCCGAGAUGGUGGACUAAAAACUCUCCUCCAUCCUCUAAAUCUCCUUCACAUUUUGGUUGAAUUCCACCCAUUUCCAUCUAAUUUUACCCCUCAGUUCAAUCUGACCCUGCUUCCUACGAGAACUCCUCACAUAAUUCCUUGUCAUUGUAUUCUUUUCCUACUAUAGUGACCUAUUCCGUGAAUUACAUUGGCCAUGGACAUUUUAUUCUGAUUGGUUUCUCUCUUUCCAUAGUUAGUUUAGAAUUAGCUUGUUCAAGAAAACUUCAUUCUGAGCAAACAUAUUCUCCCCCUACUUCAUGAUUUACAUUUUCUGCUGUGUUAGAUCCACUGUCCAUGGUCCAGAAAUCCACAUCUAAUGUGCGGAUAUUAAACUGUGUGACUUCCUCAUUUCUCAGAGUUUCUUCCUCUAUCUCUCUUCCAUGUCCAAAAUAUUUAGUACAGAGACAUGAAGAAAAUAUUACCUGUUUAUAAAUUCUUACGUUUCUUCUUUUAGUCUUCAUAGUAAUGACAUAUUCAUUAUUUGUGGUUUCUUAUGAUAACGUAAUUUAUAUGUAUAUUACAGGGCAGAUAUCCUGUUAAGUUUAGGCAGCUCCUCUGCCAUGUUUCUUUCAGAGAUGCUCUGCACUUCCAGAUGUAUAGUUAACAUGUUAAGCUAAAAAUACCCAACAAAACAUCUUCUGAAUGAAUGUUCAUAUGACGAAUGUCCAGUUGCUGUUUCCUUUAUGUCCCUUACUCGUCCUCAUGACUAGGGCUGUGGGUCACCCUAAUUGUCUUAAUGCUGUUCCAUGCUUCUGUGUCUCAAAAAGGUUCAGGUUUAUUCUCUGAAUAAAUACAGCUCCAUCGAGUAUUUGCUCUUCCUUUUAUUCCUCUUCUAGAUUAAAAAUGUUUAUUUUCCUACCUGUUCACUUAUCGGAAACUUUGUUGCCUAACCCCUGUGUGUUAUUUCCUUCAUUCUGCCCAGGAGCUCUAAUCAGAGGGAUAUGUAGAGCCAUGUCCUUCAAGUCCUUCAUCUCUUCUUGUGUAUGGCAGCCAACCUGCACCUAUGGGGUAUCUGGGUGGUAAUAACUUCAGAUAAGAAGAUGAAAAUGGCACACUACGUGAAGGCUAGUGAUGAACACUUUUAAUUUCUGUUUCUCUUAGCUGGGAUGGGAAUCCCAGGUAGAAUUAUCAUCCCUGUGUCUCCACUCUAUAAUUAAUUUGGCUAACUACUGCGAUCAAACUUCUGGGUUUCUCUGUGCCCUUGUUACCCUUACUCCAAGAGCUGCCAUUUAAGCUACUUUGUUCUCUGAUCAUCUUAAUAUUUCCCCAGACCUUACUCACCACCCAUAAAACUUAUACAUCAUCAACAUCUUACCAUUAGUUAUCCCUCAUUACCAGGAAGAUAUAAGGACUAGAUUGCAAACCUGCUUCCCACUGUGCUUCCCCUCCCCCCCCCCAAAAAAAACCCCGGAAAGAUAAAUAUCAGAUAAGCUUUGAAUGAACUUGAACUUAUGAGGCAAUCUUCUGUACAUGUAAAGAAAUCUUUAGCUCUGAACUUGUCAACUCUAGUUGGGAAGUGACAGCUGUAACUGGAGACCUGGCUUAUUAGCAAAAUAUGACUCACUAAGCUUACUAGACCUGGAAAAUUGAAAAUGAUUUUUGGUCAUCAGGGACUCUUUGCA
This is a long non-coding RNA of Sus scrofa (pig), 6146 nucleotides long. RefSeq lists it as uncharacterized. NCBI's taxonomy places the organism in Eukaryota, Metazoa, Chordata, Mammalia, Artiodactyla, Suidae. The record is from RefSeq and is a predicted model, not a curated record.